GAUGAACGCUAGCGGGAGGCCUAACACAUGCAAGCCGAGCGGUAUUUGUUCUUCGGAACAGAGAGAGCGGCGCACGGGUGCGGAACACGUGUGCAACCUGCCUUUAUCUGGGGGAUAGCCUUUCGAAAGGAAGAUUAAUACCCCAUAAUAUAUUGAGUGGCAUCACUUGAUAUUGAAAACUCCGGUGGAUAGAGAUGGGCACGCGCAAGAUUAGAUAGUUGGUGAGGUAACGGCUCGCCAAGUCAAUGAUCUUUAGGGGGCCUGAGAGGGUGACCCCCCACACUGGUACUGAGACACGGACCAGACUCCUACGGGAGGCAGCAGUGAGGAAUAUUGGACAAUGGGUUAGCGCCUGAUCCAGCCAUCCCGCGUGAAGGACGACGGCCCUAUGGGUUGUAAACUUCUUUUGUAUAGGGAUAAACCUACUCUCGUGAGAGUAGCUGAAGGUACUAUACGAAUAAGCACCGGCUAACUCCGUG
RNAcentral lists this ribosomal RNA (479 nucleotides) under uncultured bacterium. RNAcentral describes it as "partial 16S ribosomal RNA". It matches the Rfam family "Bacterial small subunit ribosomal RNA", at positions 28 to 507 of the family's 1533-position model. The record is from RNAcentral.